AUACGGAAGGUCCGGGCGUUAUCCGGAUUUAUUGGGUUUAAAGGGAGCGCAGGCGGAGAUGCAAGCGUGACGUCAAAUUUCGGGGCUCAACCCCGUCUCGCGUCGCGAACUGCGUCCCUUGGUUGCGGGAAGGGGAGGCGGAACUCGUGGGGGAGCGGUGAAAUGCAUAGAUAUCACGAAGAACUCCGAUCGCGAAGGCAGCCUUCCGGCCCGUCAACGACGCUCAUGCUCGAAGGUGCGGGUAUCAAACAGGAUUAGAUACCCUGGUAGUCCGCACAGUAAACGAUGGACACCCGCGGUUUGGCCUGUAUGGCUGAGCCGCCAAGCGAAAGCGUUAAGUGUCCCACCUGGGGAGCACGCCGGCAACGGUGAAACUCAAAUGAAUUGACGGGG
RNAcentral lists this ribosomal RNA (393 nucleotides) under uncultured bacterium. RNAcentral describes it as "partial 16S ribosomal RNA". It matches the Rfam family "Bacterial small subunit ribosomal RNA", at positions 523 to 918 of the family's 1533-position model. The record is from RNAcentral.